This 465-nucleotide ribosomal RNA is filed under the name Vreelandella stevensii. Its description in RNAcentral is "partial 16S ribosomal RNA". It matches the Rfam family "Bacterial small subunit ribosomal RNA", at positions 338 to 795 of the family's 1533-position model. The record is from RNAcentral. Lineage: Bacteria; Pseudomonadati; Pseudomonadota; Gammaproteobacteria; Oceanospirillales; Halomonadaceae.
CCUACGGGGGGCAGCAGUGGGGAAUAUUGGACAAUGGGCGAAAGCCUGAUCCAGCCAUGCCGCGUGUGUGAAGAAGGCCUUCGGGUUGUAAAGCACUUUCAGUGGGGAAGAAAGCCUUGGGGCUAAUACCCUCGAGGAAGGACAUCACCCACAGAAGAAGCACCGGCUAACUCCGUGCCAGCAGCCGCGGUAAUACGGAGGGUGCGAGCGUUAAUCGGAAUUACUGGGCGUAAAGCGCGCGUAGGCGGUCUGAUAAGCCGGUUGUGAAAGCCCCGGGCUCAACCUGGGAACGGCAUCCGGAACUGUCAGGCUAGAGUGCAGGAGAGGAAGGUAGAAUUCCCGGUGUAGCGGUGAAAUGCGUAGAGAUCGGGAGGAAUACCAGUGGCGAAGGCGGCCUUCUGGACUGACACUGACGCUGAGGUGCGAAAGCGUGGGUAGCGAACAGGAUUAGAUACCCCUGUAGUC